Molecule: ribosomal RNA, 443 nt
Filed under: uncultured bacterium
Lineage: Bacteria
Description: partial 16S ribosomal RNA
Rfam family: Bacterial small subunit ribosomal RNA
Source: RNAcentral
CCUACGGGAGGCAGCAGUGGGGAAUAUUGGGCAAUGGGCGCAAGCCUGACCCAGCAACGCCGCGUGAAGGAAGAAGGCUUUCGGGUUGGAAACUUCUUUUCUCAGGGACGAAGAAAGUGACGGUACCUGAGGAAUAAGACACGGCUAACUACGUGCCAGCAGCCGCGGUAAUACGUAGGUGGCAAGCGUUAUCCGGAUUUACUGGGUGUAAAGGGCGUGUAGGCGGGAAAGCAAGUCAGAUGUGAAAACCAUGGGGUCAACCUGUGGCCUGCAUUUGAAACUGUUGUUCUUGAGUACUGGAGAGGCAGACGGAAUUCCUAGUGUAGCGGUGAAAUGCGUAGAUAUUAGGAGGAACACCAGUGGCGAAGGCGGUCUGCUGGACAGCAACUGACGCUGAGGCGCGAAGGCGUGGGGAGCAAACAGGAUUAGAUACCCGUGUAGUC